RNAcentral lists this ribosomal RNA (253 nucleotides) under uncultured bacterium. Its description in RNAcentral is "partial 16S ribosomal RNA". It matches the Rfam family "Bacterial small subunit ribosomal RNA", at positions 524 to 774 of the family's 1533-position model. The record is from RNAcentral.
CACGUAGGCACCAAGCGUUGUCCGGAUUUAUUGGGCGUAAAGAGCUCGUAGGCGGUUCGGUAAGUCGGGUGUGAAAACUUUGGGCUCAACCCAAAGCGUGCACUCGAUACUGCCAUGACUAGAGUUCGGUAGGGGAGUGGGGAAUUCCUAGUGUAGCGGUGAAAUGCGCAGAUAUUAGGAGGAACACCGGUGGCGAAGGCGCCACUCUGGGCCGAAACUGACGCUGAGGAGCGGAAAGCGUGGGUAGCAAACG